ACGCACGCUGGCGGCGUGCUUAACACCUGCACGUCGAACGGAAAGGCCCCUUUGGGGGUCCUCGAGUGGCGAACGGGUGAGUAACACGUGAGUAACCUGCCCUUGACUUCGGGAUAACUUCAGGAAACUGGGGCUAAUACCGGAUAGGAAUCCUUGCUGCAUGGUGGGGGUUGGAAAGCUUCGGCGGUUUUGGAUGGACUCGCGGCUUAUCAGCUUGUUGGUGGGGUAGUGGCUUACCAAGGCUUUGACGGGUAGCCGGCCUGAGAGGGCGACCGGCCACAUUGGGACUGAGAUACGGCCCAGACUCCUACGGGAGGCAGCAGUGGGGAAUAUUGCACAAUGGGCGGAAGCCUGAUGCAGCAACGCCGCGUGCGGGAUGACGGCCUUCGGGUUGUAAACCGCUUUCAGCAGGGGCGAAGCUUGUGGUGACGGUACCUGCAGAAGAAGCACCGGCUAACUACGUG
This 464-nucleotide ribosomal RNA is filed under the name uncultured bacterium. RNAcentral describes it as "partial 16S ribosomal RNA". It matches the Rfam family "Bacterial small subunit ribosomal RNA", at positions 29 to 507 of the family's 1533-position model. The record is from RNAcentral.